This 253-nucleotide ribosomal RNA is filed under the name uncultured bacterium. RNAcentral's name for it is "partial 16S ribosomal RNA". It matches the Rfam family "Bacterial small subunit ribosomal RNA", at positions 524 to 776 of the family's 1533-position model. The record is from RNAcentral.
UACAUAGGUCUCAAGCGUUGUUCGGAUUCAUUGGGCGUAAAGGGUGUGUAGGCGGCGCCGUAAGUCGGGUGUGAAAUUUCGGAGCUUAACUCCGAAACUGCAUUCGAUACUGCGGUGCUUGAGGACUGGAGAGGAGACUGGAAUUCAUGGUGUAGCAGUGAAAUGCGUAUAGAUCAUGAGGAAGACCAAUGGCGAAGGCGGGUCUCUGGACAGUUCCUGACACUGAGACGCGAAGGCCAGGGGAGCAAACGGG